GAAUUCUGUUGCAAAGGUGAUGAAGGGACUGAAGAGGUGAAGAGAGACUUAAAAUACACCAGGCCAAUUAAUUUGUCUGUGGAUUGGACUUCUGAAUUUUUUAGUCAAAAUCAAGGAUGUGACUGGAAGGUUCUACGUAUUACAGUUACAUUCCACACACAAAAACCAAUGGGGACCAAGGAGGUCUUGUGCUUCUACCCACUCCCACUGCCCUUAGACAACUAAGGAAGUUCUGCCUGUCUCAACUAGGGAGCCAAGAACAAGAAUCUUGCAAAGGGAGAAGCAGAAUUACAAGGUCGUUGAUCCCAAUGAAAACUCUGGUGAGCCCAGCUUGAUUGAUGUAAGAAGCAAUCAGACUAUUGGUAUUCUCAUCCUUGGGCAUGGUCAGUGUUCCUCCUCUUCCAUGGCAGUGGAGCUGGGCAUCC
This is a long non-coding RNA of Mauremys mutica (yellowpond turtle), 425 nucleotides long. RefSeq lists it as uncharacterized. NCBI's taxonomy places the organism in Eukaryota, Metazoa, Chordata, Testudines, Geoemydidae. The record is from RefSeq and is a predicted model, not a curated record. The transcript has 3 exons.